This 160-nucleotide ribosomal RNA is filed under the name Capsicum baccatum. RNAcentral's name for it is "5.8S ribosomal RNA". It matches the Rfam family "5.8S ribosomal RNA". Rfam says of the family: 5.8S ribosomal RNA (5.8S rRNA) is a component of the large subunit of the eukaryotic ribosome. It is transcribed by RNA polymerase I as part of the 45S precursor that also contains 18S and 28S rRNA. Lineage: Eukaryota; Viridiplantae; Streptophyta; Magnoliopsida; Solanales; Solanaceae. The record is from RNAcentral.
AAAAAGACUCUCGACAACGGAUAUCUCGGCUCUCGCAUCGAUGAAGAACGUAGCAAAAUGCGAUACUUGGUGUGAAUUGCAGAAUCCCGUGAACCAUCGAGUCUUUGAACGCAAGUUGUGCCCAAAGUCAUUAGGCCGAGGGCACGUCUGCCUGGGCGUC